RNAcentral lists this long non-coding RNA (224 nucleotides) under Oryza sativa (Asian cultivated rice). Its description in RNAcentral is "long non-coding RNA (OSAT_LNC001048)". Lineage: Eukaryota; Viridiplantae; Streptophyta; Magnoliopsida; Poales; Poaceae. The record is from RNAcentral.
UGUAUGUCCAGUUCAGGGAGGAAGAACAGGCAGUCGCUGCGCAUAAUGCCCUUCAAGGUCGCUUCUACUCAGGGCGCCCAAUAAUUGUUGAGUAUUCCCCUGUGACUGAUUUCCGUGAGGCGACCUGUAGGCAGUUUGAGGAGAACAGCUGCAACCGUGGGGGCUACUGUAAUUUUAUGCAUGUAAAGCAGAUUGGCAGGGAGCUCAGGAGGAAGCUUUAUGGG